CCCUGUAUUUGAAGGUGAUCCUGGUCAUGGACAGUGCAGGGAGAGAAACUGCUGAAAGCAUUUCCCCUUGUUUGGAGGGGCCACUCCUGUCCCUUCCAAACUCUGGAGCUUUUCCAUA
This is a small nucleolar RNA of Aotus nancymaae (Ma's night monkey), 118 nucleotides long. Its record names the gene SNORA71. It matches the Rfam family "Small nucleolar RNA SNORA71". From Rfam's summary of the family: The members of this family belong to the H/ACA class of snoRNAs which bind a number of proteins (including dyskerin, Gar1p and Nop10p) to form snoRNP complexes. The record is from Ensembl. NCBI's taxonomy places the organism in Eukaryota, Metazoa, Chordata, Mammalia, Primates, Aotidae.